Molecule: ribosomal RNA, 228 nt
Filed under: Salmonella enterica
Lineage: Bacteria; Pseudomonadati; Pseudomonadota; Gammaproteobacteria; Enterobacterales; Enterobacteriaceae
Also listed under: 1 other name
Description: partial 23S ribosomal RNA
Source: RNAcentral
GGUUAAGCGACUAAGCGUACACGGUGGAUGCCCUGGCAGUCAGAGGCGAUGAAGGGCGUGCUAAUCUGCGAUAAGCGCCGGUAAGGUGAUAUGAACCGUUAUAACCGGCGAUACCCGAAUGGGGAAACCCAGUGUGAYUCGUCACACUAUCAUUAACUGAAUCCAUAGGUUAAUGAGGCGAACCGGGGGAACUGAAACAUCUAAGUACCCCGAGGAAAAGAAAUCAAC